RNAcentral lists this ribosomal RNA (768 nucleotides) under Hypoxylon fragiforme. Its description in RNAcentral is "eukaryotic LSU rRNA". It matches the Rfam family "Eukaryotic large subunit ribosomal RNA", at positions 119 to 916 of the family's 3401-position model. Lineage: Eukaryota; Fungi; Ascomycota; Sordariomycetes; Xylariales; Hypoxylaceae. The record is from RNAcentral.
AAUCUGGCCUCGUGGUCCGAGUUGUAAUUUGUAGAGGAUGCUUUUGGUGCGGUGCCUUCCGAGUUCCCUGGAACGGGACGCCAGAGAGGGUGAGAGCCCCGUACGGUUGGACACCUACCCUAUAUAUAGCUCCUUCGACGAGUCGAGUAGUUUGGGAAUGCUGCUCUAAAUGGGAGGUAAAUUUCUUCUAAAGCUAAAUACCGGCCAGAGACCGAUAGCGCACAAGUAGAGUGAUCGAAAGAUGAAAAGCACUUUGAAAAGAGGGUUAAAUAGCACGUGAAAUUGUUGAAAGGGAAGCGUUUGCGACCAGACUUUUUCCAGGGGGAUCAUCCGGUGUUCUCACCGGUGCACUCCGCCUGGUUUAGGCCAGCAUCGGUUCUCUUAGGGGGAUAAAGGCUUGGGGAACGUAGCUCCUUCGGGAGUGUUAUAGCCCCUUGCGUAAUACCUUCGGGGGACCGAGGAUCGCGCUCUGCAAGGAUGCUGGCGUAAUGGUCGUCAACGACCCGUCUUGAAACACGGACCAAGGAGUCGAACAUUUGUGCGAGUGUUUGGGUGUUAAACCCUCACGCGUAAUGAAAGUGAACGGAGGUGAGAGCCCUUACGGGUGCAUCAUCGACCGAUCCUGAUGUCUUCGGAUGGAUUUGAGUAAGAGCAUAACUGUUCGGACCCGAAAGAUGGUGAACUAUGCGUGGAUAGGGUGAAGCCAGAGGAAACUCUGGUGGAGGCUCGCAGCGGUUCUGACGUGCAAAUCGAUCGUCAAAUCUGCGC